RNAcentral lists this unclassified non-coding RNA (382 nucleotides) under uncultured bacterium. RNAcentral's name for it is "contains 16S-23S intergenic spacer region". The record is from RNAcentral.
UCCCCGUUUUCCGGGGCAGUCUCUGUAGAGUUCCCGGCAUAACCCGCUGGCAACUACAGACAAGGGUUGCGCUCGUUGCGGGACUUAACCCAACAUCUCACGACACGAGCUGACGACAGCCAUGUAGCACCUGUGUUCCCGUUCCCUUUCGGGCACAGCCGGGUUUCCCCAGCCUCCAGGACAUGUCAAGGGUAGGUAAGGUUUUUCGCGUUGCAUCGAAUUAAUCCACAUAAUCCACCGCUUGUGCGGGUCCCCGUCAAUUCCUUUGAGUUUUAACCUUGCGGCCGUACUCCCCAGGCGGGGUGCUUAAUGCGUUAGCUUCGGCACGGACGGGGUUGAUAUCCGCCCACACCUAGCACCCAACGUUUACGGCUAGGACUGC